UACGAAGGGGGCUAGCGUUGCUCGGAAUCACUGGGCGUAAAGCGCACGUAGGCGGAUCUUUAAGUCAGGGGUGAAAUCCUGGAGCUCAACUCCAGAACUGCCUUUGAUACUGAGGAUCUCGAGUCCGGGAGAGGUGAGUGGAACUGCGAGUGUAGAGGUGAAAUUCGUAGAUAUUCGCAAGAACACCGGUGGCGAAGGCGGUCACCUGGACGGAUACUGACGCUGAGACGCGAAAGCGUGGGGAGCAAACAGG
RNAcentral lists this ribosomal RNA (253 nucleotides) under uncultured bacterium. RNAcentral describes it as "partial 16S ribosomal RNA". It matches the Rfam family "Bacterial small subunit ribosomal RNA", at positions 524 to 776 of the family's 1533-position model. The record is from RNAcentral.